RNA transcript from Sorghum bicolor (sorghum), 2260 nucleotides. RefSeq lists it as uncharacterized. NCBI's taxonomy places the organism in Eukaryota, Viridiplantae, Streptophyta, Magnoliopsida, Poales, Poaceae. The transcript has 4 exons. The record is from RefSeq and is a predicted model, not a curated record.
GCGUGCGACCAUGACCCGUAUUAGGAAACAACAAUUCCAUCCCGCAAUCGUUGCGAUCCUCUCCCUGCUCGCGCCGCCACACACGCUCGCGAUCCCCUUCCUGCUCGCUACGCCACACACGCCCGCUCCUAGAUGGCCGCUCGCGCCUCCUCCUCCCGCCCAACGCCGCUGCCUGCGCUCGCAGGUGGCCAUGCCCAACGCCCGCGCCUGCUCGUAGGUGGCUCGCCGCGCCCGCUCGUGCCUCCUCCUCCGCCCAACACCUCUGCACGUGCAGCUCGCACCGCACGCGCUCGUUGCCUGCGCUCGCCGGUGGCCGGGCCCAAUGCACGUGCCCACUGCGUGGGAUACAUGGAGGUUGCCGUCGGAGAUGCCGUCGCGUGGGAUAAGUAGAGGUCGCCAUCAGAGACCACUCCGCACCUGCACCGAGCACCUCGCCAAGUCAGACUGCCCCUGCCUUCGAUCAUCAAACUGCUACCGCAGGAGCUGCGGCCAACGUCAACGAGCAUCGCCGGCUCGACAACAAGAUGAACCCCUACGCCCCGAUCUCUCGCUCUAUCUCCCUUGGCUAGAUCAACGUUGGGGCGGUUAGAUCGACGUCGUCUCCAACCGGAUCGACAUCAUGGGCGCCACCCCAUCGAUGUGUUGCGCCCCUUCGUCUCCCCUAACUUGACCAGUGUUGGGGCACAUGGAUUGGCGCCGCCCCCAGCCACAUCAACAUAGUCGCCCUCCAGUUGAUGUGCCCCCUCCUUUGUCUCCCCCAACUAGAUCUGCGUUGUGGCGAUCAGAUCGAUGUCGUCGCCAGUCAAAUCGAUGCCUUGGCCGCCCUCCCAUCGACACGCCACCACAUUGGCAUAUGUGUUCAUCUCCUAGCUCCCUCUCCCUUCUUAUGCAUUUUGAAUUUCAAGAUUGGGCAUUUGUAUAGUCGGAUUGUCGCGUGUUGUGGUUUUUCUAGCAUUUCUCAGUUUGAGUUUUUGUCUGAUGGGUUUGUUGGUGUCGGUGUUGCAGAGAUUGUGGCAGCAACGUCCAUCGCGAGCCACGGGCGGAUGUCGCGUACUGCAUCCAUGCGCUUGCCCGGCGCGACAAGCCAAAACCAGGAACUAGAUUCUUUUAAAGGUAGCCGCUGUAUAAGCUCAGACCAAGCAAAUUCCGUGCAGCAAUUGAGGCAGCUUUUCUCACUGAACGUGAUUUUUUAUCAAAAAAUGGAUGGGGUAUGCUCACUGCGGAAGUCUGUAAAUAAGCAGUCUGAUCCUAAUAGCUUUCAGGAAGAGGCGAAUUCAAAUAACGAGCAAGAGUGCCAAUCCGAUUCUCAGGUUGUUCGAAAAUUGGCACUGUCUUGUGAUAGCUGUGAUAAUCGCCUACCAUCCAAGGUUCCGAAAAAAAGGAAGCAAGGGAUGAGCAGGUGCUCGGCACUACGAAAAGGUUUGUGGCUAACCUUUUGAGUUGUGAGAUACUUCAUCUCAGGUAUUCUUUACACAUCCUUUCUUCCUUUUGAUGACCCAUGUCUAUAAGAAUUACUCUGUAGUUAUUGUAGUUGAAAUAAUACUAUGGCAUAUGUAAGAAAAUUUAGCACCACACAGAUGGUGGAAACUGGGUAAGAGCUUAGAAGAAUACAUGCUUUGGUUGUAUAUCCUCUUGAAUAUUCUGGGUACUGGCUUGAAAGGCACUUUGUCCCGGGUUUGUUAUGAUGAGUGCCACAUUUGGGUUCACAUUGAAUGUGACCUGACAUGCAACAACGUGGAGGUUAUUUCCUUACUAUUGUAUGAUGACAUUUUGAUGUCCUUAUUGCUUGAUAUCUAUAUGCAACUAUUUGAUAAAUACCUUUUCUUAACUUGGCAUUGUGUCAUAGGAUUUAGAAAAGACAGAUUAUUACUGUCUGAAAUGCAAACUAAAACGCAAAACAGUUCUAGCAACAGCAAAAAUGAAUACUUCCAAUAGUUCAGAAUGUGCUAGCACUUCAAAGGAAAAGUUGGCCGCAAUGAUAGAUAUUUGCUACAACAGCGAGGAGGCACUGUAUGUACCUGACAAGCACAUGUAAUUAUUUGGUAUUUUGGUGGUAUCUCACUGUAAUUUAGAACAUAUAUUAUUCAAUGUGUUGGGAGAGUAGGCUCACAUUUUGUGUUAUGUGAUUUUGUUAUUGCAAUACUCACUCUUAAGUAUUAUUUAGUGGAUGGCGGGCAUUGUAAUGUUGACUAUGUAGACCAGAAACACCCAACCAACUUUAAUAUAAUGAUGCAUAAUUUUCCUGUGCAUCCAAGAAAUA